CCUGCAUGUCUAAGUCCAGCUGUUUGUUCGUGGGUGUGAAAGCACUCGCGCGAACGGCGAAACCGCGGACGGCUCAUUAAAUCAGUUGUGGUCCAAAUGGGCUAGAGUUAUCUUACUUGGAUAACUGUGGUAAUUCCAGAGCUAAUACAUGCAACAUAUAAGUCCGAAUGGCUUCUGCCGUAACGACUGCUUUUAUUAGACCAAACCGCURAGGGUGCGUCAGCAAUGACCCCCGAGACUCGUGGAAUGGUGACUCUGGAUAACCAAUCUUUAKGACAAGCGCACGUAUCCAUUAAUAUGGGACGGCGCUACCACUUUCGAGUGUCUGCCUUAUCAGCUAUGUAUCGUUUGUUAUGUGCCACCGAUGGCUUUGACGGGUAACGGGGAAUCAGUGUUCGAUUCCGGAGAGGCAGCCUGAGAAACGGCUACCACGUCCAAGGACGGCAGCAGGCACGCAAAKUACCCAAUCCCAGCUACUGGGGGAGGUAGUGACGAAAUCUAACGAUGCGGGCGCCCCAUCUGGGGCCCCGCAAUCGGAAUGAGCAUUUUCUUUCUAAACACCCUGUUGAGAACCCACUGAAGGGCAAGUCUGGUGCCCAGCAGCCGCGGUAAUUCCAGCUUCAGCAGCAUAUACUAAAGUUGCUGCGGUUAAAAGGGCUCGCAGUUGAAUGUCAGUACCGAGUGUAGCGAUGGUGGACGUUGGGGGUGCGAUUGAAUGGGCCCUCGCGUUACGGUGGUGCUCGCUCCCUCUCAUUCGGCGCAUUACGCUUUGUGUGUGUGGCUUCGCGCUGCCUCCUGGUUCUUGUGUUGGAUGUUGAGGUUGUGUUUAUUACUACGCGCGGGUGCGCUCGUUCGUCGCAUGAAUAGCCCCCGUCCGUAAACAGCCUCCUCACUCGCGUACAAAGUUGAGAUCGGAAUGUUUUGUACGAAGCGCGUGGUGCGGAGAGCUCGUUCUUUAUUCUCUCUCUCCGCUCUCUCUCUCACGAGGGUUAGUUGGCUGAGUUUGGGUGGGUGCGUGUUUCUCCAAUCCGUUAAACGCGUGGAUAUGGACUUGGUUUCAAGGUUACCCUGAGUAAAUUGGAGUGCUCAAAGCAGUCGUAAGGAGCGAUCGGCUCACGCCGUACGUUCUGCGAUGAAUGUCUUUAUUGACAGACGGUCUUUGUUUUGCAUGGUAUGUCGAAAGACGCCGUAUAUUUCCUGUUGGUAACGAGUCUCGUGCGGGCUGCGUGGGUGCUCAAACUCGAGGCAAAGCUUUGCGGCUGCGCCGAAGGUGCGACGCGCUCACGCACGUAUGGGACCAACAGGUGCGGAAUGAUUAAAAGGUUCGGUCGAAGGCAAUGGUAUUGCGAGGCGAGAGGUGAAAUUCUAUGACCCCCGCAAGACCUCCUGAAGCGAAAGCGUCUGCCAAGGACGUUUCAUUAAUCGAGCCUGGCGGGCUUAAUUUGACUCAACACGGGCCAUCUCACCAGGCCAGCACUCUUGAACGAUUGACAGAUUGAAAGUUCUUUCUCGAUUCAGUGGAUGGUGGUGCAUGGCCGUUCUUAGUUGGUGGAGUGAUCUGUCUGGUUAAUUCCGAUAACGAACGAGACUCUCCCCUGUUAACUAGUCGGUUGGAUCUUGCGUCUGGAGAGUUGUGUUUUUUAUCUCGAGCUAUCGCUCUUGUUCGUGCCGCAUCGUCGGGGUGCCUUUGCGCGCAUUUGGCUUAACGGCUCUGUGUGUGUGAGAGUGCUUUCGGUGUAUGUUCGGUGCUUACUCGUGGUGUCUUAGUGCGGGUUUCUUUCACACUCCAAGUCCUCCGCUUAUUCAUACUAUACGUGUGAUGUCUUACGGCAAAGCUAUAUAAAUGUGUAAAACUCUUCUUAGAGGGAUUCACGGUUCUGAAACCGUAAGAAACUGAGAGCAAUAACAGGUCUGUGAUGCCCUUAGAUGUUCUGGGCCGCACGCGCGCUACAAUGCCGGGCUCAGCAGGUAUUUAUCCUUCUCCGAGAGGAGUGGGUAAUCCUCUGAAAGCCCUUCAAACAUUAUUAACAAAGGGAUGCGCUCGCUUAUGUGAGUGUAUCUCUUCUAUGGCUUGCUUGGGCCUGGGUCUUGCAAUUCUUUCCCACAAACGAGGAAUGCCUAGUAGCGGCGGAUCACUGAGUUCGCUGUGACUCAGUCCCUGCCCUUUGUACACACCGCCCGUCGCUACUACCGAUUGGGUGUACCAGUGAGAUCUUUGGACUGGCGAGCCUCGUUGUUCUUCAUUGAGCGCGAGUGUGUACGACGGGAAGAGGCUCGAACUGGUGCACUUAGAGGAAGUAAAAGUC
Molecule: ribosomal RNA, 2306 nt
Filed under: Bathypanoploea schellenbergi
Lineage: Eukaryota; Metazoa; Arthropoda; Malacostraca; Amphipoda; Stilipedidae
Description: partial 18S ribosomal RNA
Rfam family: Eukaryotic small subunit ribosomal RNA
Source: RNAcentral